GUGAGAAGGCUGGAGGACAGUCACAAGGCAAGCCAAAGCAGCAAGCUCGUGGUGGCUCAACUCAGGAAGGCAGCAACUCAGCACCCGAAAAAGCACCAAGAAGGAAAGGGAAGUGUCGAAAUUGUGGGAUACCUGGUCAUUGGGCUAAGGAGUGCCGCAAGCCUCGUCGAGAAAGGCGUGAAGAGGUUCAUCUCGCGAAGGCCGAGGUUGAUCAGCCGUCCUUGCUCUUAGCCCGUUCAUGGAGAAUGCCGAAUACUCAUAUGUAGAGUGUGUACCUCAAUGAGGAACGUGUGCUCCCGGACAGCCGUGACAACAAUGUAUGGUACCUAGAUACUGGAGCCAGUAACCAUAUGACAUGGGUUUUGAAGGCUCAACUCAGGAAGGCAGCAACUCAGCACCUGAAAAAGCACCAAGAAGUAAAGGGAAGUGUCGAAAUUGUGGGAUAUCUGGUCAUUGGGCUAAGGAGUGCCGCAAGCCUCGUCGAGAAAGGCGUGAAGAGGUUCAUCUCGCGAAGGCCGAGGUUGAUCAGCCGUCCUUGCUCUUAGCCCGUUCAUGGAGAAUGCCGAAUACUCAUAUGUAGAGUGUGUACCUCAAUGAGGAACGUGUGCUCCCGGACAGCCGUGACAACAAUGUAUGGUACCUA
RNAcentral lists this long non-coding RNA (643 nucleotides) under Nicotiana benthamiana. Its description in RNAcentral is "long non-coding RNA (NBEN_LNC013110)". Lineage: Eukaryota; Viridiplantae; Streptophyta; Magnoliopsida; Solanales; Solanaceae. The record is from RNAcentral.